GCAAGGCCUUGUCAUGGUGGUGGCAGUAGCGGUGGCCUGUGAGACCUUGUGGUGGCAGCAGGAGAUGGUUGUAGAAGCAGACAUGGCCUGUGAGACUUUGCUGAGGCAGGCUGCCACAGCUUCUCCCACCACCUCCAAGAGGCCUCGCAGGCCACCGCCACUUCUUGCCACCAUGGCAAGGCCUCGC
This is a non-coding RNA of Podarcis lilfordi (Lilford's wall lizard), 187 nucleotides long. The record is from the annotation of a GenBank genome assembly. Lineage: Eukaryota; Metazoa; Chordata; Lepidosauria; Squamata; Lacertidae.